Molecule: ribosomal RNA, 253 nt
Filed under: uncultured bacterium
Lineage: Bacteria
Description: partial 16S ribosomal RNA
Rfam family: Bacterial small subunit ribosomal RNA
Source: RNAcentral
UACAGAGGGGGCAAGCGUUGUUCGGAAUUACUGGGCGUAAAGGGCGCGUAGGCGGCCUUCUAAGUCGAACGUGAAAUCCCCGGGCUCAACCCGGGAACUGCGUCCGAUACUGGAAGGCUUGAAUCCGGGAGAGGGAUGCGGAAUUCCGAGUGUAGAGGUGAAAUUCGUAGAUAUUCGGAAGAACACCAGUGGCGAAGGCGACUUACUGGACACAUAUUGACGCUGAGGUGCGAAAGCGUGGGGAGCAAACAGG